RNAcentral lists this ribosomal RNA (466 nucleotides) under uncultured bacterium. Its description in RNAcentral is "partial 16S ribosomal RNA". It matches the Rfam family "Bacterial small subunit ribosomal RNA", at positions 28 to 492 of the family's 1533-position model. The record is from RNAcentral.
GACGAACGCUGGCGGCGCGCCUAACACAUGCAAGUCGAACGAGCGAGAGAGAGCUUGCUUUCUCGAGCGAGUGGCGAACGGGUGAGUAACGCGUGAGGAACCUGCCUCAAAGAGGGGGACAACAGUUGGAAACGACUGCUAAUACCGCAUAAGCCCACGACCCGGCAUCGGGUAGAGGGAAAAGGAGCAAUCCGCUUUGAGAUGGCCUCGCGUCCGAUUAGCUAGUUGGUGAGGUAACAGCCCACCAAGGCGACGAUCGGUAGCCGGACUGAGAGGUUGAACGCCCACUUGGGGCGUGACCCCCGCCCCGGCCCCCCCGGGGGGGCGGCGGGGGGGAAUUUUAAACAGGGGGUGAAACCUGGAGCCCGCGACGCCGGGGGGAGAAAGAGGCUUUCCGGAUUGAAAACCCGGUUGUUGGAGAAAUAAAAGCACGCCCAUAAACAGGAAGGGGCGCCCUAAUCAGGCC